RNAcentral lists this ribosomal RNA (244 nucleotides) under uncultured Arcobacter sp. Its description in RNAcentral is "partial 16S ribosomal RNA". It matches the Rfam family "Bacterial small subunit ribosomal RNA", at positions 1141 to 1382 of the family's 1533-position model. Lineage: Bacteria; Pseudomonadati; Campylobacterota; Epsilonproteobacteria; Campylobacterales; Arcobacteraceae. The record is from RNAcentral.
UAAUGAAACUGCCUACGCAAGUAGUGAGGAAGGUGGGGAGUGACGUCAAAUCAGCACGGCCCUUACGUCCAGGGCUACACACGUGCUACAAUGGCCGGUACAAAGGGCAGGCUACCUGGUGACAGGAUGCUAAUCUACAAAAGCCGGUCUCAGUUCGGAUCGGAGUCUGCAACCCGACUCCGUGAAGCUGGAAUCGCUAGUAAUCGUGGAUCAGCAUGCCACGGUGAAUACGUUCCCGGGCCUU